This 1146-nucleotide unclassified non-coding RNA is filed under the name Zea mays. RNAcentral's name for it is "misc RNA Zm00001eb123810". The record is from RNAcentral. Lineage: Eukaryota; Viridiplantae; Streptophyta; Magnoliopsida; Poales; Poaceae.
CUCGACGCCGUCGGUCUCGAGCAGCGCGCCGGACGCCGCCACCCCUCCGGGCCUCACCACGGCCACCUUGGCGAAGCCCUUCGCACCGACGUACUUCCCCGUGCCGCCGACGACGGCGAGGUGCGACUCCGAGUCCGCGGUGCGGUGCACGCCGAAGAAGCUGAUGGUGUCGUCGAACCCGCCUUCCUUGAACAUGGCGGUCACAGCCACGGUCUGGCUGACGCCCUCCUCCGAGCUGGCGAUGUAGAAGCCCUGCGCGCGGCCCACCGCGGCGGACCCCAGCUCCGGUGCCUCCGUCAGCUCGUCGUCCACCACGGUCAUGGUCCCGAAGAGGAGCUUCUGCAGCGUGGUGCCCUGCGGGAGGCUGCCUCCGGCGAAGACCGGCACGCCGUUCCCGUUCCCGUUCCCGUUGCCGUUGCUGCCGACGGACUUGGCGGCGUUGGUGGCGCCGCCCAGGCCCGUGAGGAAGGGAAUGUUGUUGUUGUCGAUGGCGCCCGCCGCGCCGGAGUUGACGUUCACGCCGCUGUUGAGCGGCAGCACGGCGCCGUUGGGCCGCGCGAAGGGCAGCUGCCCGGUGACCGCGGCGUUGUCCACGAUGCCGGCCACGAUGCGCGCCGACGGGUUCGUGCCCCCGAGGAUGUCGUGCAUGAAGAAGACCAUCCCGUGGCCGUCAGCGCCGCUCGCUGCACCCGCUCCCGCGGCCCCGGCCCCGGCCCCCACAGGGAUGGUGCUGGCUGCGACCGGAGCUGCCGCAGCAGCAGCGGGGAUGGCAUUGGCAGCGACCGGUGCGUCUGCUGCCACGGCGCCUCCGGGCGCCGCCACCACACCGGCGCCUCCUACCACAGGUGGACUGGCAUCGGCAGUGACCGGUGCGUCAGCAGCAGGGUGCGCUAUGGCCGGUGCGGCAGCGGGCGCCGCAGCACCAGUGCCGUCGUCGUCGUCGUCGGAAGUCAGCUGACGCGUCGGUCUCGCCGCGGUAGCGCUGGGCGCGACGAGGAGGAGGACGAGGAUGAGGAGAAGGGAAGAGAGUCCGAUGGCCGCUUUCUUGAACGCCAUUCGAGCAGGCAAGGCUCUCUCUCUGUUUCUAGCUCGCCCCGCUGGUGGUGAUGCACUGAUACUGCAACUGUUUGUGCUCUGACUGAGCUG